This 508-nucleotide ribosomal RNA is filed under the name uncultured bacterium. Its description in RNAcentral is "partial 16S ribosomal RNA". It matches the Rfam family "Bacterial small subunit ribosomal RNA", at positions 29 to 523 of the family's 1533-position model. The record is from RNAcentral.
AUUGAACGCUGGCGGCAUGCCUUACACAUGCAAGUCGAACGGCAGCGGGGGAAAAGCUUGCUUUUCCUGCCGGCGAGUGGCGAACGGGUGAGUAAUACAUCGGAACGUGCCCUGUAGUGGGGGAUAACUAGUCGAAAGAUUAGCUAAUACCGCAUACGACCUGAGGGUGAAAGUGGGGGACCGCAAGGCCUCAUGCUAUAGGAGCGGCCGAUGUCUGAUUAGCUAGUUGGUGGGGUAAAGGCCUACCAAGGCGACGAUCAGUAGCUGGUCUGAGAGGACGAUCAGGCACACUGGGACUGAGACACGGCCCAGACUCCUACGGGGGGCAGCAGUGGGGAAUUUUGGACAAGGGGCGAAAGCCUGAUCCAGCAAUGCGGCGUGUGAGAAGAAGGCCUUCGGGUUGUAAAGCACUUUUGUCCGGAAAGAAAUGGCUCUGGUUAAGACCAGGGGUCGAUGACGGUACCGGAAGAAUAAGGACCGGCUAACUACGUGCCAGCCGCCGCCGUAA